GCCGCGGUAGCUCAGUUGGUAGAGCAACGCAUUCGUAAUGCGUAGGUCGGCGGUUCGAGUCCGUCCCGCGGCA
This 73-nucleotide transfer RNA is filed under the name Limimonas halophila. RNAcentral describes it as "Rhodospirillaceae bacterium Ia16 tRNA". It matches the Rfam family "tRNA". Rfam says of the family: Transfer RNA (tRNA) molecules are approximately 80 nucleotides in length. Their secondary structure includes four short double-helical elements and three loops (D, anti-codon, and T loops). Lineage: Bacteria; Pseudomonadati; Pseudomonadota; Alphaproteobacteria; Rhodospirillales; Rhodovibrionaceae. The record is from Rfam by way of RNAcentral.